UCGACCUGAGGUCAGGCAAGAACACCCGCUGAACUUAAGCAUAUCAAUAAGCGGAGGA
RNAcentral lists this ribosomal RNA (58 nucleotides) under Trebouxia arboricola. RNAcentral's name for it is "partial 26S ribosomal RNA". It matches the Rfam family "Eukaryotic large subunit ribosomal RNA", at positions 1 to 57 of the family's 3401-position model. RNAcentral also lists the same sequence under 4 other names. The record is from RNAcentral. Lineage: Eukaryota; Viridiplantae; Chlorophyta; Trebouxiophyceae; Trebouxiales; Trebouxiaceae.